Molecule: ribosomal RNA, 537 nt
Filed under: uncultured bacterium
Lineage: Bacteria
Description: bacterial SSU rRNA
Rfam family: Bacterial small subunit ribosomal RNA
Source: RNAcentral
AAUAGAUACCCGGGUAGUCCUGGCCGUAAACGAUGACCACUAGAUGCGGGAGGUAUCGACCCCUUCCGUGUCGCAGCUCACGCGCUAAGUGGUCCGCCUGGGGAGUACGGUCGCAAGACUAAAACUCAAAGGAAUUGACGGGGACCCGCACAAGCAGCGGAGCGUGUGGUUUAAUUCGAAGCAACGCGAAGCACCUUACCAGGGCUUGACAUGCUCCUGCACCAGCGGUAACCCGCUGUCUCCCGCAAGGGAGCGGGAGCACAGGUGCUGCAUGGCUGUCGUCAGCUCGUGUCGUGAGAUGUUGGGUUAAGUCCCGCAACGAGCGCAACCCUUGUCGUCAGUUGCCAACGGUUCGGCCGGGCACUCAGACGAGACUGCCGGUGUUAAACCGGAGGAAGGUGGGGAUGACGUCAAGUCCUCAUGGCCCUUAUGCCCAGGGCUACACACGUGCUACAAUGGCCGGUACAAAGGGCUGCGACACCGCGAGGUGAAGCCAAUCCCAAAAAACCGGUCUCAGUUCGGAUUGGAGUCUGCAAC